UACUGCCUCUGAUCUGGUGGUCUCACUAAACAGAGAACAUCCCUGGUCAUCCCUACUGCCUCUGAUCUGGUGGUCUCACUAAACAGAGAACAUCCCUGGUCAUCCCUACUGCCUCUGAUCUGGUGGUCUCACUAAACAGAGAACAUCCCUGGUCAUCCCUACUGCCUCUGAUCUGGUGGUCUCACUAAACAGAGAACAUCCCUGGUCAUCCCUACUGCCUCUGAUCUGGUGGUCUCACUAAACAGAGAACAUCCCUGGUCAUCCCUACUGCCUCUGAUCUGGUGGUCUCACUAAACAGAGAACAUCCCUGGUCAUCCCUACUGCCUCUGAUCUGGUGGACUCACUAAACAGAGAACAUCCCUGGUCAUCCCUACUGCCUCUGAUCUGGUGGUCUCACUAAACAGAGAACAUCCCUGGUCAUCCCUACUGCCUCUGAUCUGGUGGUCUCACUAAACAGAGAACAUCCCUGGUCAUCCCUACUGCCUCUGAUCUGGUGGUCUCACUAAACAGAGAACAUCCCUGGUCAUCCCUACUGCCUCUGAUCUGGUGGUCUCACUAAACAGAGAACAUCCCUGGUCAUCCCUACUGCCUCUGAUCUGGUGGUCUCACUAAACAGAGAACAUCCCUGGUCAUCCCUACUGCCUCUGAUCUGGUGGUCUCACUAAACAGAGAACAUCCCUGGUCAUCCCUACUGCCUCUGAUCUGGUGGUCUCACUAAACAGAGAACAUCCCUGGUCAUCCCUACUGCCUCUGAUCUGGUGGUCUCACUAAACAGAGAACAUCCCUGGUCAUCCCUACUGCCUCUGAUCUGGUGGUCUCACUAAACAGAGAACAUCCCUGGUCAUCCCUACUGCCUCUGAUCUGGUGGACUCACUAAACAGAGAACAUACCUGGUCAUCCCUACUGCCUCUGAUCUGGUGGACUCACUAAACAGAGAACAUACCUGGUCAUCUCUACUGCCUCUGAUCUGGUGGACUCACUAAACAGAGAACAUACCUGGUCAUCCCUACUGCCUCUGAUCUGGUGGACUCACUAAACAGAGAACAUACCUGGUCAUCUCUACUGCCUCUGAUCUGGUGGACUCACUAAACACAUGCUUUGUUUGUAAAUGAUGUCUGAGUGUUGGAGUGUUGCCCCUGGCUGUAGGUAAAUGAUGUCUGAGUGUUGGAGUGUUGCCCCUGGCUAUAGGUAAAUGAUGUCUGAGUGUUGGAGUGUUGCCCCUGGCUAUAGGUAAAUGAUGUCUGAGUGUUGGAGUGUUGCCCCUGGCUAUAGGUAAAUGAUGUCUGAGUGUUGGAGUGUUGCCCUGGCUAUAGGUAAAUGAUGUCUGAGUGUUGGAGUGGUGCCCCUGGCUAUAGGUAAAUGAUGUCUGAGUGUUGGAGUGUUGCCCCUGGCUAUAGGUAAAUGAUGUCUG
Molecule: long non-coding RNA, 1411 nt
Organism: Oncorhynchus keta (chum salmon)
Lineage: Eukaryota; Metazoa; Chordata; Actinopteri; Salmoniformes; Salmonidae
Exons: 3
Source: RefSeq, a predicted model, not a curated record